CGAGCAUGCCGCGUGAGUGAGGAAGGCCUUCGGGUCGUAAAGCUCUGUUGCGAGGGAAAAAGGAACGGAAGAGGAAAUGAUUCCGUUUUGAUGGUACCUCGCCAGAAAGUCACGGCUAACUACGUGCCAGCAGCCGCGGUAAUACGUAGGUGGCAAGCGUUAUCCGGAAUGAUUGGGCGUAAAGGGUGCGCAGGCGGCAUAUCAAGUCUGAAGUGAAAGGUACGGGCUCAACCUGUACAGGCUUUGGAAACUGGUAUGCUCGAGGACAGGAGAGGGCGGUGGAACUCCACGUGUAGCGGUAAAAUGCGUAGAGAUGUGGAAGAACACCAGUGGCGAAGGCGGCCGCCUGGCCUGUAACUGACGCUCAGGCACGAAAGCGUGGGGAGCAAAUAGGAUUAGAUACCCUAGUAGUCCACGCCCUAAACGAUGAGGAGCAGGUGUCGGGGGUAGUACCUCGGUGCCGAAGCUAACGCAAUGACUCCUCCGCCUGGGGAGUAUGCACGCAAGUGUGAAACUCAAAGGAAUUGACGGGGGCCCGCACAAGCGGUGGAGUAUGUGGUUUAAUUCGAAGCAACGCGAAGAACCUUACCAGGCCUUGACAUGGGAUGCGAAGACUUAGAGAUAAGUU
Molecule: ribosomal RNA, 628 nt
Filed under: uncultured bacterium
Lineage: Bacteria
Description: bacterial SSU rRNA
Rfam family: Bacterial small subunit ribosomal RNA
Source: RNAcentral